UAAGCAUAUCAAUAAGCGGAGGAAAAGAAACCAACAGGGAUUGCCUCAGUAACGGCGAGUGAAGCGGCAAAAGCUCAAAUUUGAAAUCUGGCCCCGUCAGGGGUCCGAGUUGUAAUUUGGAGAGGAUACUUCGGGUGUGGCCGUGGCUUAAGUCCCUUGGAACAGGGCGUCAUAGAGGGUGAGAAUCCCGUCUUGAGUCACCGGUCCACGCCCAUGCGAAGUUCCUUCGACGAGUCGAGUUGUUUGGGAAUGCAGCUCUAAGUGGGUGGUAAAUUUCAUCUAAAGCUAAAUAUUGGCUGGAGACCGAUAGCGCACAAGUAGAGUGAUCGAAAGGUUAAAAGCACCUUGAAAAGGGAGUUAAAUAGCACGUGAAAUUGUUGAAAGGGAAGCGCUUGCAACCAGACUCGAGCGCAGGGUUCAGCGGGCAUGCGUGCCCGUGUACUCUCUGCGCUCGGGCCAGCAUCAGUUUCGGCGGUUGGUUAAAGGCCUCUGGAAUGUAUCGUCCUCCGGGACGUCUUAUAGCCAGGGGUGCAAUGCGGCCAGCCGGGACUGAGGAACGCGCUUCGGCACGGAUGCUGGCAUAAUGGUUGUAAGCGGCCCGUCUUGAAACACGGACCAAGGAGUCUAACAUCCACGCGAGUGUUCGGGUGUCAAACCCGUGCGCGCAGUGAAAGCGAACGGAGGUGGGAGCCCAUCAGGGUGCACCAUCGACCGAUCCUGAAGUCUUCGGAUGGAUUUGAGUAAGAGCGUGGCUGUUGGGACCCGAAAGAUGGUGAACUAUGCCUGAAUAGGGUGAAGCCAGAGGAAACUCUGGUGGAGGCUCGCAGCGGUUCUGACGUGCAAAUCGAUCGUCAAAUUUGGGGUAUAGGGGGCGAAAGACUAAUCGAACCAUCUGGUAGCUGGGUUCCUGCCGAAGUUUCCCUCAGGAUAGCAGUAACGUUUUUCAGUUUUAUGAGGGUAAAGCGAA
RNAcentral lists this ribosomal RNA (967 nucleotides) under Uncinocarpus reesii. RNAcentral describes it as "eukaryotic LSU rRNA". It matches the Rfam family "Eukaryotic large subunit ribosomal RNA", at positions 35 to 1017 of the family's 3401-position model. The record is from RNAcentral. Lineage: Eukaryota; Fungi; Ascomycota; Eurotiomycetes; Onygenales; Onygenaceae.